UGAGGAAUAUUGGUCAAUGGGCGAGAGCCUGAACCAGCCAAGUCGCGUGAAGGAAGACAGUCCUAAGGAUUGUAAACUUCUUUUAUACGGGAAUAACGGGCGAUACGAGUAUUGCAUUGAAUGUACCGUAAGAAUAAGCAUCGGAUAACUCCGUGCCAGCAGCCGCGGUAAUACGGAGGAUGCGAGCGUUAUCCGGAUUUAUUGGGUUUAAAGGGUGCGUAGGUUGUUCGGUAAGUCAGCGGUGAAACCUGAGCGCUCAACGUUCAGCCUGCCGUUGAAACUGCCGGGCUUGAGUUCAGUGGCGGCAGGCGGAAUUCGUGGUGUAGCGGUGAAAUGCAUAGAUAUCACGAGGAACUCCGAUUGCGAAGGCAGCUUGCCAUACUGCGACUGACACUGAAGCACGAAGGCGUGGGUAUCAAACAGG
RNAcentral lists this ribosomal RNA (424 nucleotides) under Fusobacteriota bacterium. RNAcentral's name for it is "Fusobacteria bacterium partial 16S ribosomal RNA". It matches the Rfam family "Bacterial small subunit ribosomal RNA", at positions 355 to 776 of the family's 1533-position model. Lineage: Bacteria; Fusobacteriati; Fusobacteriota. The record is from RNAcentral.